Molecule: long non-coding RNA, 5170 nt
Organism: Halichondria panicea
Lineage: Eukaryota; Metazoa; Porifera; Demospongiae; Suberitida; Halichondriidae
Exons: 10
Source: RefSeq, a predicted model, not a curated record
AAGGACUGUCCAAAUUAAAAUUACAAGGAAUUUUGUUAUAAUGAUAUUCAUACACAAGUGUCAUCGCAUUGGAAUGUUUAUCACGUGCGUGGGUGGAAAACAUCUGCAAUUACUAGUGGAGGUGGAGCUUCGGUCACAUGACACUGUACUUAGCUUUCUGAAGUUGACCGUAGCUAGUUGAUCGUGUAAAACCCUGAAAAACUAUUUGUUGUAAGCUACCUAGUAGUUAUUAAAGGCCUUAACUAAGACUAUUAGAUAGUAGAGAAAUUGUUUCCUGCUGCGCAAGACAGAGUGCAACCAAACAAGAAUGUUAGGAGGAGAUCUCGGGGACAAUUCAAGAUUUCAUCAGUAUAUGAUAUGUACAUCAGGAUUCCAAGAAAAGACAGGAUCUAACUAAGCUGGAACAAAAUUUAAUGGUUUUUUUAUAAUUUAGUUUUACAAGGAAAUUUCAUGUUAAUUGGUCACAUGAUAGUCACAUGAUCUUUUUUUUCAUUACAGAGGUUUUCAGGUUGGUUGACUAUAGUGACUGUGAAAUAAAUAGAGCAUGCGCAAUGCACAAUAGCUAUAGACUCCGCCCAGCUACUUCAAUCAAUAAACUCGCGAAAUUCAAUACUCGUUGGACCUUCGUUGGAGAGUAAUUUGGCUCUAUCUUGCUCAUCACUUGAAUUGUAAAGACAUAUCACACCAAGUCAGCCUUUCUGAGAGCACUGUCUAUAGAUAUAUUAAUGCUUUUGAGCAAACUGGUGAUGUAGCGCCAAGAGUUUCAACACAUGGUCCUCAGAAACUACUCGGAGAUUUUGAACAGCUUGUACUUCUACGAAUCAUUUUGGAGAACACUGGCAUAUACUUACAUGAAAUUCAAGCAAAACUUGUUACAAUGUUUGGCGUUACUGUAAGUGUUGCAACCAUCUGUCGAACACUGAAGUUCAUGAACUGUACACGGCAAGUUAUUCAACACAUUCAUAUACGGCGUAAUGAUGAAUUACGUGCUAAGUUUAUGGCUGAAGUUACAACCUAUGAUCCAAGAAUGCUCAUAUGGCUAGAUGAGACAGGGUGUGAUAGAAGAAAUUGUGUGCGAAAAUGGGCAUACAGUAUAAGAGGUAUGACGCCCAGAGACCAUAGGCUGCUAGCACGUGGAACACGCUACUCAGCAAUUCCUGUACUGUCCCUUGAUGGAAUACAUGAUGUAUGCUUCUUUGAAGGGACUGUGGAUGGUGGAAGGUUUGAGCAGUUUUUGAGAGAUUGUGUUCUUCCAAUUCUAAAUCCAUUCAAUUGGGUAAAUCCCCAUUCAGUUGUGAUUAUGGACAAUGCCUCCAUACACCAUGUGGAGGGUGUUAUGGAUUUAAUUGAAAACCAAGAAGGAGCACGACUGCUUUUUCUCCCUCCAUACUCACCUGAUUUGAAUCCUUGCGAAGAGGUUUUCAGUCAAGUGAAAUCAAUUAUGAAGCAAAACGAUGGAGUAUUUCAAUCAUGCAGUGCCUCAAGAGUACUCUUAAGUAUGGCAUUUAGUAUGGUAACCAAACAAGACUGCCUUUCUUAUAUCUCUCAUAGUGGAUACAUUGACUAAAACAUUAUCACAACGUAUAAUAAUAACUAUGCACAGCACACCAAAAAUUGUCAGUUUAAUCAAUAUUAUGUCACUUUAGUUGUUGAAGUAACUUCAUGAUUGUACCCUUCUCUUCACAAUAUUCCUCGUCAGUCAACACCCCACUUUGCUUUAGAUUUUGUAGUUCAUUCAACUGCCUGUAUAGCUUCGACCUACUUUCUAUAACUUUUGCUGGGCUAUUGCUUGAAAUAUGUGUCGAACUGGUAGGAGACAAAGCUGUAGCAAUCACAGUUGCCGCAUCAGAGAGAGCCCGAGCAACUGGCACAUUUCGAGAUUGAGUGCCGCUGCCAGCACGAGUGAACAUUGUGGUGUUAGGCGGAUUGUCCAUACUACAAUACAUACCACUUGCUACCAUUUCGGCCCAUAUACGAAAUUGCAUAGGUGUAUAAUCACUAAGGUGCUUUUCUUUCAAUGAGUCGACCAGUUGCUGAACUUUCUGUUCCUUGUCAGCCUUGUCAGGUACUUUUUUCUUUGUAUUAACCACAGAUACGCCAUCACUUCGAGGACGCUUGCGACUCUCUUUGGUGUUGCUUAAGCCAUCACACCACAGCAUUACUUUGCCUUUACUUUUUGCAAUACAGGACCACACCUCCUCCAGAUCACGCCUAUUUCUAAUCCGCACAACACUUGAACCCUCCACAUAUCCAACAUCGAAGUCACUAUCAACAAUGUCAUCAGUUAACUGUCUCUUAAUGGCAUCUUUUAAGUCCUCACAUGUGAGAAUUGUAGUAAUAUCUAAAUCACGAAGAGUGAACAUCUUUCCAGAGCUUAUAGGCCCAUCUUUUGAUUCAACUUUCACCAAAACUUUGGAUAGAAGUGGGGAAGCUCCUUGUAAUGUUGUAUUGAGUUUUGCAGUAGGAACAUUUGGCAUUGAAUAUGUACCUUUACUUAAUGGUGUAAUUAACACGCACCCACCACCGUUCUUUGAUACUUGUUUCUGUGAUCCACUAUUAAUAGUCACUCGGCGCCCAGUGGCAGCUACAGCAAGCGAAAGUGAACACAAAGGCUGUCCUGGUUCCAUGAUCAGAUGAUCUUCUAGCAUGUGCUUGCAGCUGUGCUGACACAGCAAACCAGAGUACAUAGUUCAAUGUUUUGCGCAAGCGCACAUGAUAGUUUCUCAAGGAACCUGAAAACCUCUGUAAGGAAACUUAAAUUAUUAUGACAAAACAAAAUGUGCAAUUACUAUGUUUAAUAUUGAAUACUUUUUGAUAUUAUGUGACGUUGGCUGUUCUUGAUUCUGGACGUGCCUUAAUACACCUGAGGUGUCAAAGGCAAAGGCAAACCAUCCAACAGUUGCAACUCCAAGAAGAUGAAACCUAGGUACAAUAAUCUGUCUUCCUGAGUCUCUGGUACUUCUUAACAAUGCGCCCAGCACUCAACUUCAUGCUCGAAGGGGUUGUCUUGGACCUGGCUGGACUAGGACUGGUCAUGACACUUCUCUAAAAUAAUGUUAGCUAGCUAGCUAGUAGACUAGAAACCACGCCCCUUUCUUUAGGGAAAGAGACUGGCCAGGUGACUAUCAACGACUUGUCUUCAUUGUGUACUGAAUUUUGCGGAAGUGGUUCAGGGAAAAGGGUGUGGUCACCAGUGUUGCGGUUUAGUAUACUUUGGCUAGAUCGAGCUAGAUCUACUUGUACUCUAGCAAGCUAGCUAGCUCAGCCACCUACCAAACUUAAUUUCAAUCACAAGUCAACUGCUGCAAAACUAUGUCCAAGUCUGGAGCUAGCUGUCACCUGGAUGUACCUAGUUCUUGUCCUGUCUGUGGCAAUGAUACCGCUGUAAUAGAAACUCAAAUGUUGCUGGCAAUAGGGCAAAGCAAAGGGACUUUCCAUAAACCAGUUGGCAGAGAGACAAAUAUAUCUGAUCUCUGCUACUGACUUCUGUCUGUUAUUUUUGCAGUGGCCUUGUAGCCAGCCAGGUUAUAGCAACUUUAGAAUUGCUUCAUUGGAGAAGUACUGAUAGACAACUUAUAUCCAAACAGCUAGCUAAGUAGACAUAACAUUUAUACUGCAACUGUACAGCUAAAAAUAUUAAUACUCACAUAAUAAUAAAAUUUAUGCAAUAUUGUGGUUUAGAUAUCUCCCACGCAUUCAUGCACACACUACAUUCCAAGCAUUCCGUUGGGACGAGUCGUUGAUGGCCAGUCUCUUCCCUAAAGAAAGGGGCGUGGUUUCCAGUCUAGCUAGCUAGGCAGCUCUGAUGUACACGCCCAUAAUUAUAACUCCGUAAACAACACCGCCCACUUGUUCACGUCCGUAUACUGGAUUCUAUUUUUAGCAUAUCCGGUCUCUGAUAUGAUACAUAGUGAGUUGCAUGCCCUCUUCUCUCUUUCCUUGGCAAUCUGUUGUAGAAAUUACAACAACGGUACACAGCCAAAAAUCCACGGGUCCGUUUCAGGCCGUUAGUUGAAAACGGGCCGUUACGGGACCGUGAACGGCCCGUUACGGGCCCGUGAACGGCCUGUAUACAGGAUGUAGCCCACCCACGUCCUGUAUACAGGCCGUUCUCACGGGCUGUAAACAGGACGUGGGCUAACGUCCUGUUUACAGCCCGUGGAUACAGGCCUGUAUCAGGGCGUAGCAUCCACGUCCUGUAUACAGGCUGUUGCAGCUGUAGCUUAUGCGCAUGCGCUAGCUUGGGGCAGGAUGACGUCACCUGACUACAAAAAGAGAAUGAGACAGACAGAGCUCUGAGAAAAAAUCCUGCUGCUUGUCACAAGAGGAGCUGCUGGUCCAAAAAGACAACUUGAAGAGGACUAUACAUUAUUAGUCUACCUGUGAACAGAAAAAGGUUUGCACGUUGCAUGUUAUGGACUUUUGAAGCUGGAACACUGGCCAAUUUUACAAGGCUCCCAUCUGAAGUUUUUUCACUUUUGAUAAAGAGGUGUUGAAGAAUGCUCCCAGAUAAUGCUGCCGAGUUGAAGUCUGGACUAAUUACACACUAGAUGUUGUCAGAAGAAUGAACUAAAAAUAAAGCAACAGUUUCCUGUUGCGAGAUAUCUUCGAGAUGAAAAAGAGCCCUUGUAAUGUGUACAGCACACUGUAAGCUGUUGACUGACUUCAUAGUACGCCGGUAAGAUUAUUCACAGUGGUGUGUUCUUCUUUUAAUCUCCUAACUCUUAUUCAGAUGUUGCAAAACUCAAGGUUUGUUUAUUGUUUUCAUCUUUAGCACUCGUUACACAUGUUAUUUAAUAGAUUUCUUUAUUGGCAUGCCGAGUUGGAGUCUGGAUGUGUUAGAUUGAAGUUUUUAGACGAAUGAUAAAGAGAAUGCAACAAUUGCCUGUGUACAGCUGGCGAGCUAUCUCGGAGAUGAAGAACGGCCCUUCAAGCUGACUUCAUAGUACGCCGGUAAGCAGUGGUGUAUUUUUUGUACAAUUCCCAGCCUCUUCUCCUCAGAGUCUAUCUUUGUGUAUCUGCAUAAAAACAAGACGAAUAUAAAUACAUGCCACCGUGGGAUGUGAAGACACGGACAUGAUAAUGAGAGACAUAAUUAUAUAAUGUAGCUGAACAGAAAUUAAUAUAUCUUGUUCUUGUCUUCUUUGUCUUUGAAUUGUGACCUUUUGAA